This 668-nucleotide long non-coding RNA is filed under the name Brachypodium distachyon (stiff brome). RNAcentral describes it as "long non-coding RNA (BDIS_LNC000325)". Lineage: Eukaryota; Viridiplantae; Streptophyta; Magnoliopsida; Poales; Poaceae. The record is from RNAcentral.
CCGCGACUCCUCCUGUUCCCUCACGCUGCCGCCGCCGGUGGAGUUCGGGAGGGCCCCGCCCCUGGACGUCACGCCACCAGGGACUGGCCGAUGUCGUCUCCUCGGCGCAAGGAGGGUUCGCCGGCGGGUCGUCGCAUGUGGCUAUUGAGCCGCAUCUAAGGACGGUGCCGAUCCGGACGCGUCAGCCCGAGCACACAAGGGUCACUUGAGAUGAAGGGGAGGGAGAGGCAGUGCCUACGCCGUGGAGAUCCCUGUGGUGCUUCUGCAAGCAACGGCCGCAUCUUCUAUGUUCUUGAUUUCCUUCUCUUCUUGAUUUGAUACGGUUCGUAUCUAUCAGGCAUAUGCACAAAAUCAAAGAUGAUUACAUAAUCAAUCAAUUUAAUUAGGAAGGUACUCAAAUAUGGAGUAGAUUAGAUGAAUCUGUUUUUGCAUGAACGAGAUUGAUUUUGCUUUCCACGCGCAGGGUGGUUUUGGUUCUCUGUUUUUGUUUACAUUGACUAGCUACAACAAAUUGCUUAACUAAGGGACAAGAUUCGGAGACAGAGAGGAUAAAGCACAUGCAUCAAUCAACGGGUUAACUAAGCAAUUUCUGCUAGACAUGCAGCGCCGUCGGUGAUAGUAUGCCUCCAGCCUUCAGAUCCGGGCAUGCCCAGUUGUCCACGGUUGCA